RNAcentral lists this unclassified non-coding RNA (1681 nucleotides) under Acyrthosiphon pisum (pea aphid). RNAcentral describes it as "uncharacterized LOC100164940, transcript variant X1". Lineage: Eukaryota; Metazoa; Arthropoda; Insecta; Hemiptera; Aphididae. The record is from RNAcentral.
GUUAUUGUUUCACAAAUGUAGUUAGUAUGCUCGGAUACGUGAUAGCCUACGUGUAUUAGUUUAAAUUUUACCAUAUUCUCAAGUAUUCGUUUAACUUGAUAAUUUUAUUUUGAUUAUAACUGAAAUAAAAACCAAAUAACGUAAAAGCAAUAAUUAUGAUUACAACUCAACUUUUCCAAUACUCGCAUGUAUAAUAUUAUGUUUAUUAAAUCAGGUUUUCAGGGUGGUCAAACGUGGGAGCCGUGACAGCAGACGACCGACAUAGGAAAACGAACGGUGAACAACCUGCAGCAGCGCGCGCAGACAUGCCCAAGGAGUCAUGUGACCGGAAAGGUGACACACCGCUAGACAUACAGGAGACCGGCUGGUCGCGAACCAAGCGAGCGCUAAGCGCAAUCCACGUGGAACCUCUGUUGUGCUGUUACAUCGUGUCCCGGACGCUCUUGCUGCUGGCCACGCAGAACCUGAGCCUGCAGAAGGCGUGCUCGGUAAACCUCCAGCUUGACGACGACACGUGCGCCGCGCUGCUGGCCAAAUCCAAGACAAACGCCAGCGAGCCGCUGCACCGGUAUGAGGUGGCCACCCAGCAGCUGGUGGCCAACAUGCUCUCGUGGCAGCUGAUCGUCCAGAGCACCGUGCCGUGUGCGCUGGCCGUGUUCGUCGGGUCCUGGAGCGACCGACGCCGAAAGCGAGUGCCGUGCAUGCUCAUACCCGUUGCUAGCGAACUGGCCCGCGUCAUUGGCCUUGUGGCCUGCGUCUACUGGUUCGACGAGCUCCGCAUGGAAGUGGUCGGCGUUGUCGAGGCGUUGCCCACGUCACUGGCCGGUGGCCGGAUGGUUCUGUUCAACGCGAUGUUCAGCUACGUCUCCGACGUCACCGGUGAGGAGAAGAAAACUCUACGAAUCGGUAUAGUCAACAUACUAUCCUCAGUAGGCAUGGCCAUCGGUACAGCGUUGUCUGGUAUUACAUUUCAGAAGCUGGGUUUCUAUGGUGUGUACGGUGUAUCUUCGGUCCUAUGUUUAAUAGGUCUUCUGUAUGGUCUAGUAUUUAUAAAAGAAGUGUCACCAAAUAAACCGGAAAAUUCAAUACCACAGACACGAAAUAAUGGUCUGUUUAAUGGAUUUUUUAACGCAAAACACAUUCAAGAAGCAUUUAAAGUCACGUUCAAGGACGGACCACAAAAUCGAAAACUCAAAAUAAUCAUGUUAAUGUGUAUUGCGUUUUUAAUCAUGGGACCUUUAAACGGUGAUCUUUCCGUAUCGUAUUUGAAUACACGUGCCCGAUUCAAAUGGAACGAAGUUGAUUUUAGUGUGUUUUCUACUUUCUCUAUGAUCACUUGUGUAGUAGGUUCAGCAAUUUGCAUCAGCUUAUUUAGCCGUGUGCUUAAAAUCGAAGAUAGCUUAAUUGGAGUGGUGGCAUGUGCAGGAAAAAUUGUUGCCGGAAUAUGUUACGCUUUAGCGACGGAAGAUUGGGUAUACUAUUUAGGUGUGUACCUUAUAUUUAUGAAAACAUGUUAAUUCGAUUUAAAUUUAAAUUCAAUGAUAAAUGGCAACUAUUCUGAUACCUAUGCAUACUGAUAUGUAUACAGUAUAUUAUAGACCGUUGGUAGACAUUAUGGGAGGCACAAUUUUCAUAACAUCGAGAUCAAUUAUGGCAAAAAUAGUCAAACCCGAUGAAUUAG